Molecule: ribosomal RNA, 443 nt
Filed under: uncultured bacterium
Lineage: Bacteria
Description: partial 16S ribosomal RNA
Rfam family: Bacterial small subunit ribosomal RNA
Source: RNAcentral
CCUACGGGUGACAGCAGUGGGGGAUAUUGGACAAUGGGGGGAACCCUGAUCCAGCGACGCCGCGUGAGUGAAGAAGUAUUUCGGUAUGUAAAGCUCUGUCAGCAGGGAAGAAAGAAAUGACGGUACCUGACCAAGAAGCCCCGGCUAACUACGUGCCAGCAGCCGCGGUAAUACGUAGGGGGCAAGCGUUAUCCGGAAUUACUGGGUGUAAAGGGAGCGUAGACGGUUAAGUAAGUCUGGAGUGAAAGGCCGGGGCCCAACCCCGGGACUGCUCUGGAAACUAUUGAACUUGAGUGCAGGAGAGGUAAGCGGAAUUCCUAGUGUAGCGGUGAAAUGCGUAGAUAUUAGGAGGAACACCAGUGGCGAAGGCAGCUUACUAAGCCAUAACUGACACUGAAGCACGAAAGCGUGGGGAUCAAACAGGAUUAGAUACCCGUGUAGUC